CUCCCCAUCGGAUCCAGGAACUGAAGUUUCUACGGGACCGGGAUCUCUACCUUGACAGCUCAAGCGACCCUGGGCCCUGUUUUUUCUAUAGCCGCAGACCCCCAACUCGAAGAGUACGGAGUAAAAGAAUCUCAGAAUUUGCAAAAAUAACAUGGCGAUAUCUGCCUGACCCUUCGCUGCGUUAACUUAACGGCUGCACUUGGGAGGGCGCUCCUUGAUCUUCGGAUGUGUAGUUCAGUUGUACUGAGAAGACUAAGGAAAUAAGGUGCCCAGAAUCUGUGGUUGAAUGCCUGCAACUAGAAUUACACAUAGUAGUUCUGGAUGGAGCAUAGCAACUAGCCCUUCCUCUGACCUCCAGGGAACUUAAGAACUGUGGACUCCGAACUUGGAUGGUUUGUAUGGGAUGCAACACUUCAUACAGUCACAUGGCAUAGAAAAGAGCUUCUGUGGGUACACAGCAAAACUGCAAAAGUACUGUCUGUGAUUGGGGAGCCUAGGGUGGAUUUGAAAGAAAAUAUGUAUUUGUUAAAUUAAAAGAAAUAACGUUAUCUUUAACUGCUAGCUUAACAAACAUUGACAUUUCUAAUGCACAAAUGGUCUCAAACCAGUACUUUAAUUACAUUUGCAUUUGCAUAACUAAAUUUUAAGAAAUAAGAUGGAAAUCCAUCUUCCAAUUUUUUUCUACAUUUUGUGUGCAUAGUAAGGAAUUUGACCUCCAAAAAGAGAUCUGGCCUUUACUGGCUCCUGGGGAGUAACCUCUACAUGCUUGGACUUUCUUGGGAUAGGAGUGUUUUUUGUUAUUCAUGGUAGGCCUGGGCACCACACCUGACAGUUCAUAAACUAAGGAGGUGCAAAGUGGGGACAGCCAAACCUGUAGACUUAGGGUGGGGUGCAGGCCACACCAGAAGGACCAACCAUGUGAUUAUGGGUUGAACUUGUGAGUCCUGUCAUGUCAGCCUGACCUGGGAGGAAUAAAGUGUCUGAAGAUUAAAUUCAAAUGUAUGAGCAUUGAUUCCACCAAUCAUGCUAUGUAAUGAAACCCCAUAUAAACUGGGGAAGCUUAUAUGGAAGAUUAAGUGAGCUGCUACUAUUGAGAAGAUACAUCCCUGUACCUGGCGUGUGAUGUGUCCUGACUCCAUGUGGAGAGGAACUUCCCAGGUUCCUCUGAGAACCUCCCAGACUUUGCCCUUUGCAUCUCUCCUUUUGGUUUCUUAUUUGUAUCUUUUUACUAUAAUAAAACUAUAAUCAUACUGUUAAAAGAUAUAACACAAAAUUGAGUUUCUAUGGCUAAGAGAUUUAAGAAUGGAAUCAGGAGGUCAUUCUGGAGGUUACUCUUAUUCCUGUCUCAACCAGAUUAUCACAAACUGCCAAAGUAUGCAAAGCCUCAAGCAACAGUGUUCCU
Choloepus didactylus (southern two-toed sloth) is the source of this 1402-nucleotide long non-coding RNA. RefSeq lists it as uncharacterized. The record is from RefSeq and is a predicted model, not a curated record. The transcript has 3 exons. Lineage: Eukaryota; Metazoa; Chordata; Mammalia; Pilosa; Megalonychidae.